CCCGCUGAGUUUAAGCAUAUCAAUAAGCGG
Molecule: ribosomal RNA, 30 nt
Filed under: Roldana sundbergii
Lineage: Eukaryota; Viridiplantae; Streptophyta; Magnoliopsida; Asterales; Asteraceae
Description: partial 26S ribosomal RNA
Source: RNAcentral